Long non-coding RNA from Macrosteles quadrilineatus (aster leafhopper), 466 nucleotides. RefSeq lists it as uncharacterized. The transcript has 3 exons. Lineage: Eukaryota; Metazoa; Arthropoda; Insecta; Hemiptera; Cicadellidae. The record is from RefSeq and is a predicted model, not a curated record.
AGACGACAGAUAGAUAAGCAGAAAAGAAUUACAACGAAAUUCUAACGAGUGUAGUUUAUCUAGAAUUUUUCUCUGCAGAGAAACAUUUGCACCAUUAUUUUAAGGUGUGGUGGACGGUGUUGGUUGGAGGAGAUAUGACAUCGACCUUGGAAAGUUCUCUAGUUUCCUGAUGAGGACUUAUGAUUGUCUAGAGUCCACAUGGCGUUUCAUACUUCAUACUUACUUACUUCAAGUAUGAAGUAAGUAAUGAAGUACUCAGCAGAAUCGAUCAGCCUUACAGUUUUUUUCUGCAGGAGGAGAAUGUUCUGACAUCCAGAGGAAUGCCCCCACAAGAAGAGGCCAUACACAAUGUGGGUGUGAAAGAGUGCAUAGUAUACCUCGAUUAUAUGCUUCUUGGACAGUAAGCACCACAGUACCUGCUUGUCUACUCUUUUGUAUACUACUACGAGCCUUUAGAGAAAAAGCA